This is a transfer RNA of 73 nucleotides. It matches the Rfam family "tRNA". Rfam says of the family: Transfer RNA (tRNA) molecules are approximately 80 nucleotides in length. Their secondary structure includes four short double-helical elements and three loops (D, anti-codon, and T loops). The record is from Rfam.
GCCUGCGUAGCGUAAUGGUUAACGCGUUUGACUUCUAAUCAAAAGAUUGCGGGUUCGACUCCCGCCGUGGGUU